GUGAGGAAUAUUGGUCAAUGGGCGAGAGCCUGAACCAGCCAAGUAGCGUGCAGGAUGACGGCCCUAUGGGUUGUAAACUGCUUUUACACGGGGAUAAAGUGUGCGACGUGUCGUUCAUUGCAGGUACCGUGCGAAUAAGGACCGGCUAAUUCCGUGCCAGCAGCCGCGGUAAUACGGAAGGUCCGGGCGUUCUCCGGAUUUAUUGGGUUUAAAGGGAGCGUAGGCCGUCUGUUAAGCGUGUUGUGAAAUGUAGAUGCUCAACAUCUGAAUUGCAGCGCGAACUGAUAGACUUGAGUGCGCAGGAAGUAGGCGGAAUUCGUGGUGUAGCGGUGAAAUGCUUAGAUAUCACGAAGAACACCGAUUGCGUAGGCAGCUCACCAGACCACAACUGACGCUGAGGCACGAAGGUGCGGGGAUCAAACAGGAUUAGAAACCCUUGUAGUCC
This 445-nucleotide ribosomal RNA is filed under the name uncultured bacterium. RNAcentral's name for it is "partial 16S ribosomal RNA". It matches the Rfam family "Bacterial small subunit ribosomal RNA", at positions 354 to 796 of the family's 1533-position model. The record is from RNAcentral.